AAGGGGGAGAUAAUGGCUGAUGUUGUCAACUUUUUGAGGACCAAAGGAUUCACUAGACACUUUGGAAGUGGAGGGAACUCAUCCACAAGUGGACAUACUUCUUGAUUGGAUUGGGGUGGCAUUUUUGACGUGCAACAAUGAUGUAAUUUGUUUGAAUGUUCAUUUUUGUUUGAUAAGGAUACACAUACAGUUACACUAGUUAUUGUUGGAUUUUUGGUGGAAUUGAACAAGUUAUAACUUUUGGAUAUUUUGUGGAUAUUUCACUAUUUUAUUAUAUCAGGAUGAAAUUAUUUGUAA
This is a non-coding RNA of Camellia sinensis, 297 nucleotides long. The record is from RefSeq and is a predicted model, not a curated record. NCBI's taxonomy places the organism in Eukaryota, Viridiplantae, Streptophyta, Magnoliopsida, Ericales, Theaceae.